This 5013-nucleotide long non-coding RNA is filed under the name Sus scrofa (pig). Its description in RNAcentral is "lncRNA (ENSSSCG00000059015.1)". The record is from RNAcentral. Lineage: Eukaryota; Metazoa; Chordata; Mammalia; Artiodactyla; Suidae.
UUCUUUAAAAUGCCCUCUAUGAGUGCUCAAAUGAAUCUCAUACUGCAGUGGGUCUGUAGUGUUAAAAUCUAACCUGAGAGUUCUGUGUCCAUAUUCUUUGCCAGCAUCAGAGUUUUAAGCUCUGGCAUAGCUUUCUUCAUGUCAUAAAAACAGGAGUGUUUUAAAAAAGAUUCUGUGAUGUGAAGAAUCUUCUCCUGCUUGGAAUCUGAACUACGAAUAAAUCCUGCAUUUGCCAAAAGGGGUGACAAUUCCAGUAUGUAGCUGAUAAAAUGCUUUGGGCUGCAAGUAACAGAGUACCUGACUCGAAUUGGCUUAGACAAUAAAGAAAUUUAUCAUCUCCUAUAGCCUCAGGUUUGAUUCACUUGAGAGUUCAAUGGUGGGUUUAGGUUCUGUCUCUCACGGUGUUAACUCUAAUCUCUUGCUUUUAUCUAGCAGUAGAGAGAGAAAAAAACUUCUCAACUGUGGGCACCUUCAGUUCCAUCAGUUAGGCCAUCUAAGGUCACAUGCCCACUCCUAAAGCGUUAACACCUCCCUGGAAUCCCUUAAACUGGCCAAAGCUGAUCAUGAAUGACCCCUGGAGUCAGAGAUGUCACCUUGCCCAGCAUCAUAAAUGGGAAAGGAAUCUCUGAAUAAAAUUGGGGUUCUGAUAGGAAAGUAGAAUGAGAAAAUGAUGAGAGAAGGCCACCCAAAUUAUCUUGUAUAGUGAGCAACUCUCAUAAACACCCUCUGCAAAGCAGUAGCUCUGGGUAAUGCAGUUACCGAGGAAACUAAAACAAAUGAAUAUAAAUAAUAAUUAAAGGGGAAAGUAAAAGUUUCAAGAGACACUUUAAAAAAUAAAAAAACCCUGAUAUGCUUGGAUUCUUCAUUAUUUGCUAUGAACAAAGUUCUAAUCCACAUCCCCCUCCCCUCCUUUCUGCUCAAUAUCAUGUGUAGAGACACAAAAGCACACAGGUGAUGUGGGGUGUGCUUAGGUCCCUAAAAGUAAAGACUGUGGUUCAUCAACAUUUUACAGGAAAGCCCGGAUUUGUUGUCAAGUGUUUUCCUUCCCAAAGAAGGCUGUCAUUGGCGUCUAUGAGAAUGUUUGGAGAUGGAGGUGUUAGGAAAGGCAGAAUCUAGAGGUGGUUAUUCUUUCUUGCUCUCACCUCUUCUUUAACCUCCACAGGCUGUUACAGGGAGGCUUGCAGACAGCAGUGUCUUGCUUGGUCCCCUGCUGUAUCAUUAGCACCUAGAACAGCACCUGGCACAAAAUAGACACUCAGUAAAUUGCUGUUGAGUCAAUGGAUGCAAACCCUCCCAGGAGUAGCACUGAGGGUAGCCAUAGGAACAGGGAAUCUGUCAACCCCCGUGAGCAGGAAGAGUAGAGGGUGGGAAGGGAAAUGCCACCCGCUCAGUUGGCUAUUUGCAAGGUCAGGACUGCUUGGACAGCCUCCUGUCACAUAGCUGUGCUUUUUUUAUUAAGCAGAAAUAAAACUCACCAGCUACUCCUUCAGAGAAUAAGACAUUCCUAGUUAAUGUCUGAUGGUGGGGUUUUAAGAAGGAAUUUAAUUAGCAUCCAAGGAUUUUGUUAGGUUUCAUGUAGCUUUUAGCUUUUCCCCAGGAAAACCUAUCAGACAUGCAGUAAGUAUAAAGCAUGCUGUGUGUUUUGUUUGAAGAUGUUGAUGUGAAUGGCUGCCCUUUGAUGCUAGUGCUGUGGAAUUUAAAUAUAAACAUUUUGAUAAAAGCUAAAUUCCCAGCAUCCUCACAAUCCUUUGAUGCCUCACCAUUAAGGAACUGAGAGCUUUGGUUGGGGGCAGGGAGGGUAAAUAGUGUGGUUGACUCCCUUUAUCUGAAGAACUCUGUUAGAUGCUAGGGUCCUUUCUUUUCUUUCUGGAGGCUAUUAUUGUUGCUCAUAUAAAUUCAAUAUCCCAAUUCUCAGGCUUCCAUAAAAGAGAUACAGUCUCUUGGGAUUGUUGACUCUGACCGCAGAGCUUCGGUAUAUGUGUCUGUAGAACAGCCCAAGUAUUAUCUGUAAGAAUGAAACCAACUCUCCUUUAGUGAGAAAAGGUGAUUAAUGUCAGGUCUGUGCCAGGCUCCACACAUGUCUUGUUGAGUAAUCUUUAGAAAAAUGCUCUAAGGUAGGUGUUUAUUUUAUUUAUUUUAUUUUAUUUUCUUUCUGCCCUGGCCCUUCUGUGGUCUGCUGUUAACGGAGCAACCAGCGUGAUCCUGCUCAAGUAUAAGUCAUAUCGUGUCACUCCUCUGCUCAGAACCUUCCAAUAGCUUCCAGUCCCUCUCGAAGUAAAAGCCAAAGUCCUCGUUAACAACCUAUGAUCUGUGGCCUCCCCUUCAGCCCUCGGACUUCAUCCUCCCUCCUUCCAUACUUGUUACUCUUAAAUGACAUUUGGGCCCCCAUGCCGUUUUUUGUGAAAUUCCUGCCUCAGGGUCUUGGUACUUUCUGUUCGUUCUCUUUGGAAUGGUUGCCCCUAAGACUGCACAUGGGGAGCAGUCCAAUUCCUCAGGUCUUUAUGGCAAAGUCACCUUCUCACCAAGGACUUCCCUACUGAUCCUAAUUAAAAUCUCACCACCCUGCCUAAUACCCAACCUCUCAUCUCUACCUUUCCAGCUUUAAUUUUUUUUUUUGGUAUCAAUUUUACCUACUUGACUGCAAUUAAUUGUCUACCCCAUUAGAAUGCAAGUUCUGAAAAUGUAGGGAUUUGUCUCUGUUUUCCUCCUGCUGCCCCUACUCUCUACAAUCUCCUACACAGCACCUAGAACAGUGCCUGAACUGCAGGAGCUGCAUACUAAGUAUUGAAUGCUGAAUGAUUUCAUUCUUUCAGCCAUCAAAUAUUGAUUCUGCAUUUACCAAGAGCCACAUGAUAUGCUGGAUUCCCCUAACAAAACUGACCCAAAGAGACAAGUUUUCUUACUUCAUACAAUUUAAAAUCAAGAGAGGAAAGGAACAAUUAAGCAAGUGCCCAUUUUAUACACAGGGACUCUAAAUUUCACCAAAAUGAGUGCAGUUCCCCAGUAUCCACUGUUCUCAAGUGGCACAGCUGGUAGGAGCACCCUGGAAUUUCAAAUUACAAUGCCAGCUCUCUUUCCUUUAUGCCAUCGCUGGCGUUGACAUAGAUACUUUUUUUUUUUUUUGCUAAUUACCCAUGUUUGUGUGUGAGAAUGCCCUUCACUGAGCAGGAAGUCUGUUGCUGUUUGCAUCUAUUGGGAUAGUUCUUUAGGGCAUUAAGGAUUAUCAUUAGGCAAAGCUCAUCAAUCAUUAUUAUUGUGGAUAAGCUUCAUUUGAUCUGCCCUUCAAGAACAUCAAAAUAAAAAUAACUAUUUCACCUCACUCUACAUAAAGAAAAAAAUUCUUGAGCUUAUUAUAUGCAUAGGACAAUGUGAAAAUAAAAGCUAAGUAGACCCCUUAUCUGACGGUUUACACUUGGGAUUCUUUUUGAAAAGGUUAGGUUGCCCAUUAAAUUUCAGCUUUGUGCAGUAAUUAUAAAUUUUUCAGUUUGAUAUUUUUAAUCAGAACGGAUGCUUAAAAUGGGGAUCUAUUUAGAAGUCAUUUUUCACUGUUAACUCUAGUUUUGUUAGGUUGGGAAUUUUCACAGAGAAAACUUGUGAAAACAGUCUUACGUCUUUUGAGGGGAAAAAAAAACCCACUAGACCUCCUAAAUAACCAAAACAAAAUUUUACACAGACAUUGGCUGAAAGUCUAUUUUAGGAGAUAAUCCUGUAUGGCCUUUUGCAAAUGUAGAAGAAAUCUAUACAUUUGGAAGAGUUUAUCACCUCCACUGCCAUUUGAUAGUAUGGGCUUAAGGCUAUGUUUUUGUGCUCUUUAAUGAGAAAUAACAAAAGAUGCUUCUGGUAGAAGUUCUGCCGGAUUGCUGCUCUAAGCUGUAGAAUGCAAAAAGAUUUGGCUUUAGUAAGACCCUUGUCUCUUUCAUACCUCGUUGUGAUUUUUGGUGAACAGAACAUGGUCUUUCAUUUCUUUAAUCCUUUCAACUUUACUCUUAGAGAGAUCUUUUAGUGCAUAAAUGCCAUCAGCAUUGGCAGGAAAUAACCUUGUUGUUAUUUUUUGUAAAUGUUAGUCUCUGAAGAAGAAAGCUUCACUGUACUCCUCUCUAGCUGGAACUGGGAACAGAUCAAAGGGGUAGCUGCAGGAUAAAGCCAGCACCCUGGAGGAGGGGAAGGGAGUGGGAGCAAGGAAACCAAGGGGAAGGGACUUCCAGCUGACCUUUCCAGAUGUCCUGAGCCACAUGUGUGAAAUCCAAUGUCAAAGACACUACGUAUGAAGCUGUUGUACAUGGAGGGGAUAAACAGCAAGAGCCUACAAUAUAGCACAGAGAACCAUAUUCAGUGUGCCAUGAUAAACCAUAAUGGAAAAGAAUAUUUUUAAAAAAGUGUAUAUACAUAUAUAUGUGUGUGUAUAUAUAUAUAAACUAUAUAUAACUAUAUAUAUAAAACUAAGUUACUUUGCUACACAGCAGAAAUUAACUCGCUGUAAAUUAAGUAUACUUCAAUUAAAAAAAAUACCCAUGUUAAAAAAACCCAACAUUACAAAUGCUAUAUUAAUUACCCUGUCCUUGGGCCCCCAGUAAAGACAUAAUUAUCACAUUUAUGUACAUUUCUCACAAACCUGAAAGGCAAAUGCUUUGGUAUAAGCAGGAAAAUAUUAAAUUGAAAAUGAAGGCAUGAAGAAAUGAUCAUUUGAGACUAUUUUCUCCAAAUCAUGGUAGUGCCGUGGAAAAUAACAGAAAAAUUGUAAAAGUUCAGAGAUGAGCUAAAAUGUUCACCCCAGUCUCCUUCAUUGUCAUUGGUACUAGUGCCAAAAAUAAAAAUAGCUAAAUGACCUCAGUGUUGCAUUAGGUGUACACAGAGUGAAGCACACGGUUCUUGGGUUCCUGAUGCUGUGUAAGUGUGGGGCCAUCAAAGCACUACUUUGCUAGAUGAAGGAAAGUAUAAUGGCAUAUUUCAGCCCGAGGGAUACUGCUUUUGCUGAAAAAGAGGACAUAAUCUUUCAUGAUGUAAUCUUACAGC